Molecule: long non-coding RNA, 581 nt
Organism: Gadus morhua (Atlantic cod)
Lineage: Eukaryota; Metazoa; Chordata; Actinopteri; Gadiformes; Gadidae
Exons: 3
Source: RefSeq, a predicted model, not a curated record
CUUUUAGGAAAAAAAAUCUCGCCUACCGCUAUUCCCUCUGGUUCAGUCCCUUUCAGAAUGUGCUGUUUCAGGGGGGUGUAGCUUCAAUGCAAAUGAGGCACCCUGCUCAUUGCAUUUGGACACGCACUUCUAACAAACUGAUACCAUGGUUACGGAGAGAGUGCAGCGUAGCAUGUGAAAGUAGCGGACAUGGCAGCUUCAGUGGUUCAACCCUAUAUGUUCGAACCUGAAUCGGAUCCUGAAGAAGGAGAGGAGGCUCCUGCAGAACCCCAGACUCCGAGAAUUCAGCAGGAUGCUUCUGAAUGGUGCACAUGUGGAAAUUGUGCCACAAUGCAGUCAGAGCCGGAGAACUCAUGCUGUCAGGAGGUGCCUCAGGUUACAAGACGGCUGGAACAGCUGGAUGAAAGGACUCCCUGCAUGAUAGACCAUCCAGGUUUAGAACUGGUUUGUCUGAAUGUGUUCUCGCUGCAGAACGCAUGCAACAUCUACAGAGCUGACUACGGUCCUUUGCGACUACGGGGGAUAGAGCAGUGAGUUUUACAUAUAAUAACCUACUUGACUGUUCAUACACAAUAAACUAA